GGACUACCAGGGUUUCUAAUCCCGUUCGCUCCCCUGGCCUUCGUGUUUCAGCGUCAGGUUCUGCCCAGGGUCUUGCUUUCGCUAUAAGUGUUCCUCUCGAUCUCUACGCAUUUCACUGCUACACCGAGAAUUCCAGACCCCUCUACAGACCUCCAGCAUGGCAGUAUCGGGUGCUAUUCGGGGGUUGAGCCCCCGGAUUUCACACCUGACUUUCCACGCCGCCUACACACCCUUUACGCCCAGUGAUUCCGAACAACGCUUGAGACCUCUGUAUUACCGCGGCUGCUGGCAC
Molecule: ribosomal RNA, 292 nt
Filed under: uncultured Verrucomicrobiota bacterium
Lineage: Bacteria; Pseudomonadati; Verrucomicrobiota
Description: uncultured Verrucomicrobia bacterium partial 16S ribosomal RNA
Source: RNAcentral